Molecule: ribosomal RNA, 460 nt
Filed under: uncultured bacterium
Lineage: Bacteria
Description: partial 16S ribosomal RNA
Rfam family: Bacterial small subunit ribosomal RNA
Source: RNAcentral
CCUACGGGAGGCAGCAGUGAGGAAUAUUGGUCAAUGGGCGAGAGCCUGAACCAGCCACGCAGCGUGAAUGACGACUGCCCUAGGUGUUGUAAACUCUAUUUAUAAAGGAAUAAAAUGAUGCAUGUGUGCCUUUUUGUAUGCACUUUAUGAAUAAGCAUCGGCUAACUCCGUGCCAGCAGCCGCGGUAAUACGGAGGAUUCGAGCGUUAUCAGGAAUUAUUGGGGUUAAAGGGUGCGUAGAUGGGUAGGUAUGUCAGUUGUGAAAGUUUGCGGCUCAACCGUAAAAUUGCAAUUGAUACUAGCAGCCUUGAGUGCAGUAGAGGUAAGCGGAAUUCGUGGUGUAGCGGUGAAAUGCUUAGAUAUCAGGAGGAACUCCAAUGGCGAAGGCAGCCUACUAAACUGCCACUGACAUUGAUGCUCGAAAGUGUGGGUAUCAAACAGGAUUAGAUACCCGAGUAGUC